This 496-nucleotide ribosomal RNA is filed under the name uncultured bacterium. RNAcentral describes it as "bacterial SSU rRNA". It matches the Rfam family "Bacterial small subunit ribosomal RNA", at positions 29 to 525 of the family's 1533-position model. The record is from RNAcentral.
AUUGAACGCUGGCGGCAUGCUUUACACAUGCAAGUCGAACGGUAACAGGCCUUCGGGUGCUGACGAGUGGCGAACGGGUGAGUAAUGCAUCGGAACGUGCCCAAUCGUGGGGGAUAACGUAGCGAAAGUUACGCUAAUACCGCAUAAGCCCUGAGGGGGAAAGCAGGGGAUCGCAAGACCUUGCGCGAAUGGAGCGGCCGAUGUCAGAUUAGCUAGUUGGUGGGGGUAAAGGCCUACCAAGGCGACGAUCUGUAGCGGGUCUGAGAGGAUGAUCCGCCACACUGGGACUGAGACACGGCCCAGACUCCUACGGGAGGCAGCAGUGGGGAAUUUUGGACAAUGGGCGCAAGCCUGAUCCAGCCAUGCCGCGUGCAGGAAGAAGGCCCUAUGGGUCGUAAACUGCUUUUACACCGGAGAAAACCUCCCCUCGUGAGGGGAGCUGAUAGUAUGGUGAGAAUAAGCAUCGGCUAACUUCGUGCCAGCAGCCGCGGUAAAG